UACGUAGGGGGCAAGCGUUAAUCGGAAUUACUGGGCGUAAAGCGUGCGCAGGCGGUUCGUUAAGUUCGAUGUGAAAGCCCCGGGCUCAACCUGGGAAUGGCAUUGGAAACUGGCGGACUCGAGUGUGGCAGAGGGGGGUGGAAUUCCGCGUGUAGCAGUGAAAUGCGUAGAGAUGCGGAGGAACACCGAUGGCGAAGGCAGCCCCCUGGGCUAACACUGACGCUCAGGCACGAAAGCGUGGGGAGCAAACAGG
This 253-nucleotide ribosomal RNA is filed under the name uncultured bacterium. RNAcentral's name for it is "partial 16S ribosomal RNA". It matches the Rfam family "Bacterial small subunit ribosomal RNA", at positions 524 to 776 of the family's 1533-position model. The record is from RNAcentral.